RNAcentral lists this ribosomal RNA (469 nucleotides) under uncultured bacterium. RNAcentral's name for it is "partial 16S ribosomal RNA". It matches the Rfam family "Bacterial small subunit ribosomal RNA", at positions 28 to 507 of the family's 1533-position model. The record is from RNAcentral.
GACGAACGCUGGCGGCGUGCUUAACACAUGCAAGUCGAACGGAAAGGCCCUGCUUGCAGGGUGCUCGAGUGGCGAACGGGUGAGUAACACGUGGGCGAUCUGCCCCUUACUUUGGGAUAAGCCUGGGAAACUGGGUCUAAUACUGGAUAGGACCAUGCUGUAGGUGGUGUGGUGGAAAGAUUAGUUUCGGUAAGGGAUGAGCUCGCGGCCUAUCAGCUUGUUGGUGGGGUAAUGGCCUACCAAGGCGUCGACGGGUAGCCGGCCUGAGAGGGUGGACGGCCACAUUGGGACUGAGAUACGGCCCAGACUCCUACGGGAGGCAGCAGUGGGGAAUAUUGCACAAUGGGCGCAAGCCUGAUGCAGCGACGCCGCGUGGGGGAUGACGGCCUUCGGGUUGUAAACUCCUUUCAGCCAUGACGAAGCCCUUGUGGUGACGGUAGUGGUAGAAGAAGCACCGGCUAACUACGUG